CGCCAGCCGACGAGUCCCGAAUAGGACGAAACGCAUGUCGUGGAU
Non-coding RNA from Schistosoma mansoni, 45 nucleotides. NCBI's taxonomy places the organism in Eukaryota, Metazoa, Platyhelminthes, Trematoda, Strigeidida, Schistosomatidae. The record is from Rfam.